This is a non-coding RNA of Electrophorus electricus (electric eel), 1175 nucleotides long. The record is from RefSeq and is a predicted model, not a curated record. Lineage: Eukaryota; Metazoa; Chordata; Actinopteri; Gymnotiformes; Gymnotidae.
CUAUCCAGUUCCCCCUCCAAAUCUCCGAGUAAUGCCACAGGCGGCGAGGACGAGAAGCGCUCAGAGAGAGAAUAGUGCCAUUAGUCGGAACAAUUAGCUAGCGCUUCUAAAAACAAACAGGUGUGUGAUGAUUAGCGGUGUUUUUCAGUGAAUUAUUGAGAAUCCAUCUUUAGUUUUGUAACUCAUCAGUGAAGAGGAGCUGCCUCGCUCCCCAGGGUAAACAGAGCGUGUGUUACCCCGAACCUUUCUAGUCAAUGUCGAGCUAUUUUUGCCGUUAAAGGGAAUAUUCGGUUUACCCUCUCCCGUCGUUUCGAUUUUUUAAAAUCACCCAAGCUUUGGGAAAGCUCAUAGGUUUUAUAUUGGAUUGAAAAAUGAAAUCAAUGUUAGUGAAAUUAUUUUAGCAAUAAUUAACAUCAAAAUAGCAUGUCCAAAUAUUGGCUAUAUCGCUCAGUUAUGGUAGCCUAACCUACUAUCCUAAUCGACAAGAGGGCAAAUGUCUAAACCCUGAUAGCUUCACGUAUUAUCGAUAAUAUGACUUUUUUUUUAAUUUAUGGGACAGUCAACGCCAUAAAAUAACUACAAGGAACAAACACCGCCUCCUUCAGGCUUUAAACUGGGUUCGUGUGUGAAAGGUUAAAAUUGAAGCUGGCAGUCUAAACUCCUUUGGGGGCAGAUAGGCAGACGACCAACGAAUGGAAAUAAAGAGGAGGAUUUUGAUAAUCCCGCAUGCUAAACUGUAACGUGACCGUGUGCGUCCACACACCAGGCGUGUGGGUGAAGGGACAGAAGUGGACAUGGUGAUUACUCCCAAGCUGCAGAGGGAAGCAGCCGGCCCGGGUGGGCAGCAGCAGAGAUGACUAGACCUUAGACAAGAGGAAGAAGUUGGACAUGCAUUCAGGCCAUUGAGCACUGUCCGAGCACACUUUCCCGACAGGCAAGCAUUUGGAACUCUGCACCUUGCUGCCGGCACACAUGGGAGUCUUAUCAGCACCCGACCCACUCUCAGCCUCAAAGAUGGUGGCCAGGGUCCAGUGGCACGCAGCUCUCUGCUAAGCCCGAAUUAUCAUAGUAUCCAGCCACAUAACACCCUAUCUAUUAUUAUUUAUAUUUGGGCAACAGUCUGCGAUGUUAUGCCCAUAUUGUUUUGAUUAAGAGGGCUGGCAGUGAGUGGGAUG